Molecule: ribosomal RNA, 497 nt
Filed under: uncultured bacterium
Lineage: Bacteria
Description: partial 16S ribosomal RNA
Rfam family: Bacterial small subunit ribosomal RNA
Source: RNAcentral
GAUGAACGCUGGCGGCGUGCCUAAUACAUGCAAGUCGAGCGAACGGACGAGAAGCUUGCUUUUCUGAUGUUAGCGGCGGACGGGUGAGUAACACGUGGAUAACCUACCUAUAAGACUGGGAUAACUUCGGGAAACCGUAGCUAAUACCGGAUAAUAUUUUGAACCGCAUGGUUCAAAAGUGAAAGACGGUCUUGCUGUCACUUAUAGAUGGAUCCGCGCUGCAUUAGCUAGUUGGUAAGGUAACGGCUUACCAAGGCAACGAUGCAUAGCCGACCUGAGAGGAUGAUCGGCCACACUGGAACUGAGACACGGUCCAGACUCCUACGGGAGGCAGCAGUAGGGAAUCUUCCGCAAUGGGCGAAAGCCUGACGGAGCAACGCCGCGUGAGUGAUGAAGGUCUUCGGAUCGUAAAACUCUGUUAUUAGGGAAGAACAUAUGUGUAAGUAACUGUGCACAUCUUGACGGUACCUAAUCAGAAAGCCACGGCUAACUACGUG